This is a long non-coding RNA of Pipistrellus kuhlii (Kuhl's pipistrelle), 679 nucleotides long. RefSeq lists it as uncharacterized. The record is from RefSeq and is a predicted model, not a curated record. The transcript has 2 exons. NCBI's taxonomy places the organism in Eukaryota, Metazoa, Chordata, Mammalia, Chiroptera, Vespertilionidae.
CAUACACUUUAUUAUAAAAACUUCAAAAGACAAGCUUGUAUUACUCUUAAAAUUAAAGAUAGCUAUGUUCAAUGUAAUAGAUAAAACCUCCACCAUUUUGAAGACUCUAACGCAGUGGUUCUCAACCUUACUAAUGCUGCGACCCUUUAAUACAGUUCCUCAUGUGGUGGUGAUCCCUAACCAUAAAAUUAUUUUUGUUGCUACUUCAUAAUUGUAAUUUUGCUACUGUUAUGAAUCAUAAUGUAAAUAUCUGAUAUGCAGGAUGUCUUUGGCGACCCCUGUGAAAAGGUUGUUCGAGCUCCAAAGAGGUCGCGACCCACAGAUUGAGAACCGCUGCCUUAGUGAGAUGACUCAUACAAAUCAAAGUAGCAGGAACUUUACCUAUAAAUUAAUAUUCUAAAUUUUCACUUGUAAUAGUAGAUACACUGGUUUAAGAACUGGGACUGCUUAUUAUUGCUUAAGACAGUGGUUCUCAAAAAUCCUUUAACAUCCACAGAUUCUGAUUUAGAAGGUUUGGGCUAGAUCAAAACAUCUGCACUUCUAACAAAUACCACAAUUAUUUUCAUGAACACCAAAAUUGGAAAAUCCCUAGUUUAUGGCUUACUUUGGUUAAAAUGGCUUAUGGAUUAUAUUCAUUGUGGAAAUGAAAAGGUAAGAAAAUUACAUGAUGAACAUAAAA